CACGGAGCGGAGGCACCAGGCUGGAGCUUGAAGGAUGCUGCCAAGAUGCUUUGACCGUAAAAAUGUUUACAACAUGGCUGGAUUCAGCCCAGACAGGAAAGGGAUAAAAAGAGAAAACAAAAGAAGUGUCACCCUGUGGCUGCAGCUGCACACAGACAGAUCGCCCCUGGGAAAUUGCUGGUCCUGAGCAAACAGCCUUGAGAAGCAGGCAAGGGAGGGAGGUUAAGAGGACUGGACCACAGACACCUUGAACUCAGAAGAUCCAAAACCACCCAGUAUUCCAUUUCCUGGUAAACUGCACCCCCAUCUAGUAAGCUACCUGACUUAGAAAGCAUGCCAUGUGGACGUGACGCCUGGAGAUAUCGCACCCACCUUAUAAUCAGGAGGAAGAAUGCCACGUGUGGAGGAUGGUGCCACAGGAAUCUGGAAGAGCUCGAUCCUGGACGACUUGCUCAAGCAGCUGCACAUUCCUCCUGCCACCUACUUCUGGAUAUUGUGUUAGGUGGGUGUCUUCAUUUCCUACUGCUGCUGUAACAAAUGACCACAAACUUAGUGGCUUAAAACAACAUAUAUUUAUCUCUUCCAGUUCUAGAGGUCAGAAGUGCAAAAUCAGUUUCUUGGGGUUAAACCUAGGUGUUGGCAGAGCUUGUUCCUUCUGUUUCCUCUGAGGGAAGAAUCCUUUUCCUUGGCUCUUUUGAUUUCUAGUGGCCACAUUUGUGCCUCAGCUUGUGGCCUCUCCCUUUAUCUUCCAAGUACAUCCCUGCAAUCUCUGGUUUCACCAUCAUGCCUCUUCUCCUCUCUGGCUCCUGCUGCGUCCUUGUUUUAAGGACCCUUGUGAGAACAUCAGGACAAUCAGGAUACAGCAGGGACAUGAGGAUAAUCCAAGAUAAUCCUCCCAUUUCAAGAUCCUUAAUUUAAUCACAUCUGAAAAGUCCCUUUUGCCAUGUAAGGAAUCAUAUUCCUAGGUUACAAAAAUUAGGACAAGGACAUCUUUGAGGGCCAUUAUACAGCCUACCACAGGAGGAAAAAACAAACUGUUUACUUGUGUCAACCAAUAUUUUAGGAUUGCCUAUGGCUCCCAACUCAGAGUUGAAGGCGACCAGAGCUGAUACCACUGCCCACUGUGUCCCAGGCACUGGCACUGUGCUCAGUGCUGGAGAUGUUCCAACCAGGCUGAGGACCUCUAGCACAGAGUCUGCCAUCUGUGUUUGCAGCUACGUAUUUGCUUUUGACUGCCUUCUGUGAACUCCACAGGGCAGGAAAUGGGUAACUUACUCUUUUCUGUGGUCUCACACCAACCUAGGGCCUGACAAUUGCAGUGCUCAAAUAAUGUUGGUUAAGCAAUGAACGCAAAAGCUCAGCAAUGAACACAAAAACUCAGCAAUGAAUGCAUGACUCAGCUACCAACUCCUAAAGACAGAAGCCUGAGUUAAUUCUAAGCAUCACUGAAUAGAAGUGUGGAAGCUAUUGAUUAAACACUCUGUCCCAGCAAUCCCCAAAAAGAAUUCCAUGGAACAGAUGCUGGAUAAAGCAAAGGUGGAAGGUUCCCUGAAACAAAUAUGUUUCGAAAAUCCACACAUGACUACCUCUUAAAGUUUCAACUCUGAGAUGUUCCAUAAUGAAGAAAUCUGCUUAACUUCAACUCACCAUUUCCC
This 1655-nucleotide long non-coding RNA is filed under the name Homo sapiens (human). RNAcentral's name for it is "HSALNT0194379". The record is from RNAcentral. Lineage: Eukaryota; Metazoa; Chordata; Mammalia; Primates; Hominidae.